This 253-nucleotide ribosomal RNA is filed under the name uncultured bacterium. RNAcentral describes it as "partial 16S ribosomal RNA". It matches the Rfam family "Bacterial small subunit ribosomal RNA", at positions 524 to 776 of the family's 1533-position model. The record is from RNAcentral.
UACAUGUGGGGCAAGCGUUGUUCGGAAUUACUGGGCCUAAAGGGUGCGUAGGUGGUUUGUUAAGUCAGGGGUGAAAUCCCGCGGCCCAACCGUGGAACUGCCUUUGAUACUGGCGAACUUGAGUGCGUGAGGGGUAGGGGGAACGAGCAGUGUAGCGGUGAAAUGCGUAGAUAUUGCUCGGAAGGCCAGAGCCGAAGGGGCCCAACUGGUGCGUAACUGACACUGAGGCACGAAAGCGUGGGGAGCAAACAGG